Molecule: ribosomal RNA, 495 nt
Filed under: uncultured bacterium
Lineage: Bacteria
Description: partial 16S ribosomal RNA
Rfam family: Bacterial small subunit ribosomal RNA
Source: RNAcentral
GACGAACGCUGGCGGCGUGCCUAAUACAUGCAAGUAGAACGCUGAAGGAGGAGCUUGCUUCUCUGGAUGAGUUGCGAACGGGUGAGUAACGCGUAGGUAACCUGCCUGGUAGCGGGGGAUAACUAUUGGAAACGAUAGCUAAUACCGCAUAAGAGUAGAUGUUGCAUGACAUUUGCUUAAAAGGUGCAAUUGCAUCACUACCAGAUGGACCUGCGUUGUAUUAGCUAGUUGGUGGGGUAACGGCUCACCAAGGCGACGAUACAUAGCCGACCUGAGAGGGUGAUCGGCCACACUGGGACUGAGACACGGCCCAGACUCCUACGGGAGGCAGCAGUAGGGAAUCUUCGGCAAUGGACGGAAGUCUGACCGAGCAACGCCGCGUGAGUGAAGAAGGUUUUCGGAUCGUAAAGCUCUGUUGUAAGAGAAGAACGAGUGUGAGAGUGGAAAGUUCACACUGUGACGGUAGCUUACCAGAAAGAGACGGCUAACUACGUG